RNAcentral lists this ribosomal RNA (506 nucleotides) under uncultured bacterium. Its description in RNAcentral is "bacterial SSU rRNA". It matches the Rfam family "Bacterial small subunit ribosomal RNA", at positions 134 to 674 of the family's 1533-position model. The record is from RNAcentral.
UGGUACGGAACAACUUUUGGAAACGAAAGCUAAUACCGUAUGGUCCCUUCGGGGUAAAGAUUUAUCGCCAAAAGAUUAGCCCGCACUAGAUUAGCUAGUUGGUGAGGUAACGGCUCACCAAGGCGACGAUCUAUAGCUGUUCUGAGAGGAAGAUCAGCCACACUGGGACUGAGACACGGCCCAGACUCCUACGGGAGGCAGCAGUUAGGAAUAUUGGACAAUGGGCGCAAGCCUGAUCCAGCCAUGCCGCGUGAACGAUGAAGGCCUUCGGGUUGUAAAGUUCUUUAGCCGAUGAUUAUAAUGACUGUAGUCGGAAAAUAAGCCCCGGCUAACUUCGUGCCAGCAGCCGCGGUAAUACGAAGGGGGCGAGCGUUAUUCGGAAUCACUGGGCGUAAAGCGUGCGUAGGCGGUCUUGUAAGUUAGGAGUGAAAGCCCAGGGCUUAACCUUGGAAUUGCUCUUAAAACUGCAAGGCUAGAAUCUCGGAGAGGAUAGCGGAAUUUCCAGU